RNAcentral lists this ribosomal RNA (518 nucleotides) under Salmonella enterica. RNAcentral's name for it is "partial 23S ribosomal RNA". It matches the Rfam family "Bacterial large subunit ribosomal RNA", at positions 1239 to 1756 of the family's 2925-position model. Lineage: Bacteria; Pseudomonadati; Pseudomonadota; Gammaproteobacteria; Enterobacterales; Enterobacteriaceae. The record is from RNAcentral. RNAcentral also lists the same sequence under 1 other name.
UUCUGUAAGCCUGCGAAGGUGGCCUGUGAGGGUUGCUGGAGGUAUCAGAAGUGCGAAUGCUGACAUAAGUAACGAUAAAGCGGGUGAAAAGCCCGCUCGCCGGAAGACCAAGGGUUCCUGUCCAACGUUAAUCGGGGCAGGGUGAGUCGACCCCUAAGGCGAGGCCGAAAGGCGUAGUCGAUGGGAAACGGGUUAAUAUUCCCGUACUUGGUGUUACUGCGAAGGGGGGACGGAGAAGGCUAUGUUGGCCGGGCGACGGUUGUCCCGGUUUAAGCGUGUAGGUGUGUGUUCCAGGUAAAUCCGGUUCACUUUAACACUGAGGCGUGAUGACGAGGCACUACGGUGCUGAAGCAACAAAUGCCCUGCUUCCAGGAAAAGCCUCUAAGCAUCAGGUAACACGAAAUCGUACCCCAAACCGACACAGGUGGUCAGGUAGAGAAUACCAAGGCGCUUGAGAGAACUCGGGUGAAGGAACUAGGCAAAAUGGUGCCGUAACUUCGGGAGAAGGCACGCUGACA